GCGGGCGAGGUGGAGCAUCGGUCUUCUAAACCGACGGUCGCGGGUUCGAAUCCUGCCGGGCGCGCCA
Molecule: transfer RNA, 67 nt
Filed under: Actinomadura violacea
Lineage: Bacteria; Bacillati; Actinomycetota; Actinomycetes; Streptosporangiales; Thermomonosporaceae
Description: Actinomadura sp. LCR2-06 tRNA-Arg
Rfam family: tRNA
About the family: Transfer RNA (tRNA) molecules are approximately 80 nucleotides in length. Their secondary structure includes four short double-helical elements and three loops (D, anti-codon, and T loops). Further hydrogen bonds mediate the characteristic L-shaped molecular structure. tRNAs have two regions of fundamental functional importance: the anti-codon, which is responsible for specific mRNA codon recognition, and the 3' end, to which the tRNAs corresponding amino acid is attached (by aminoacyl-tRNA synthetases). tRNAs cope with the degeneracy of the genetic code in two manners: having more than one tRNA (with a specific anti-codon) for a particular amino acid; and 'wobble' base-pairing, i.e. permitting non-standard base-pairing at the 3rd anti-codon position.
Source: RNAcentral